RNAcentral lists this ribosomal RNA (341 nucleotides) under Etheostoma cragini (Arkansas darter). Its description in RNAcentral is "partial 16S ribosomal RNA". It matches the Rfam family "Bacterial large subunit ribosomal RNA", at positions 668 to 1084 of the family's 2925-position model. The record is from RNAcentral. Lineage: Eukaryota; Metazoa; Chordata; Actinopteri; Perciformes; Percidae.
CAGCGUAACCCAAGCAAAGCGUGCUUUAGUUUGAUAACCCGAAACUAAGUGAGCUACUCCAAGACAGCCUAUUAAUAGGGCAAACCCGUCUCUGUGGCAAAAGGGUGGGAAGAGCUUUGAGUAGAGGUGAUAGACCUACCGAACUUAGUUAUAGCUGGUUGCCUGGGAAUUGGAUAGAAGUUCAGCCUCACGGCUUCUUUAUUCACCUCAGUUUUACCCCUUCUGAUACCUUUAAGAAACCAAGAGAGUUAGUCAAAGGGGGUACAGCCCCUUUGAAUCAAGAUACAACUUUUCCAGGAGGGUAAAGAUCAUAAUUUAAGAAGGUAAAAAUAUUUGGGUGG